RNAcentral lists this ribosomal RNA (340 nucleotides) under uncultured bacterium. RNAcentral describes it as "bacterial SSU rRNA". It matches the Rfam family "Bacterial small subunit ribosomal RNA", at positions 794 to 1242 of the family's 1533-position model. The record is from RNAcentral.
UCCACGCCCUAAACGAUGAACACUAGUCGUCGGGAUGCUAGUCAUCUCGGUGAUGCACUUAACAGAUUAAGUGUUCCGCCUGGGGAGUACGGUCGCAAGAUUAAAACUCAAAGGAAUAGACGGGGACCCGCACAAGUGGUGCAGCACCUGUUUUCAGCUCGUGUCGUGAGAUGUUGGGUUAAGUCCCGCAACGAGCGCAACCCUCGUCCUUAGUUACCAGCAGGUUAUGCUGGGCACUCUAAGGAGACUGCCUUCGUAAGGAGGAGGAAGGUGAGGACGACGUCAAGUCAUCAUGGCCCUUAUGGCUAGGGCUACACACGUGCUACAAUGGGGCGUACAG